This 1137-nucleotide ribosomal RNA is filed under the name Flavobacterium sp. Its description in RNAcentral is "bacterial SSU rRNA". It matches the Rfam family "Bacterial small subunit ribosomal RNA", at positions 66 to 1214 of the family's 1533-position model. The record is from RNAcentral. Lineage: Bacteria; Pseudomonadati; Bacteroidota; Flavobacteriia; Flavobacteriales; Flavobacteriaceae.
GGUAUGCUUCUUCGGAACAGAGACCGGCGCACGGGUGCGUAACGCGUAUGCAAUCUACCUUUUACAGAGGGAUAGCCCAGAGAAAUUUGGAUUAAUACCUCAUAGCAUAGCAACUUCGCAUGAAGUCACUAUUAAAGUCACAACGGUAAAAGAUGAGCAUGCGUCCCAUUAGCUAGUUGGUAAGGUAACGGCUUACCAAGGCUACGAUGGGUAGGGGUCCUGAGAGGGAGAUCCCCCACACUGGUACUGAGACACGGACCAGACUCCUACGGGAGGCAGCAGUGAGGAAUAUUGGACAAUGGGCGCAAGCCUGAUCCAGCCAUGCCGCGUGCAGGAUGACGGUCCUAUGGAUUGUAAACUGCUUUUAUACAGGAAGAAACCCUGGUUCGUGAACCAGCUUGACGGUACUGUAAGAAUAAGGAUCGGCUAACUCCGUGCCAGCAGCCGCGGUAAUACGGAGGAUCCAAGCGUUAUCCGGAAUCAUUGGGUUUAAAGGGUCCGUAGGCGGUUUAGUAAGUCAGUGGUGAAAGCCCAUCGCUCAACGGUGGAACGGCCAUUGAUACUGCUAAACUUGAAUUAUUAGGAAGUAACUAGAAUAUGUAGUGUAGCGGUGAAAUGCUUAGAGAUUACAUGGAAUACCAAUUGCGAAGGCAGGUUACUACUAAUUGAUUGACGCUGAUGGACGAAAGCGUGGGUAGCGAACAGGAUUAGAUACCCUGGUAGUCCACGCCGUAAACGAUGGAUACUAGCUGUUGGGAGCAAUCUCAGUGGCUAAGCGAAAAGUGAUAAGUAUCCCACCUGGGGAGUACGUUCGCAAGAAUGAAACUCAAAGGAAUUGACGGGGGCCCGCACAAGCGGUGGAGCAUGUGGUUUAAUUCGAUGAUACGCGAGGAACCUUACCAAGGCUUAAAUGUAGUUUGACCGAUUUGGAAACAGAUUUUUCGCAAGACAAAUUACAAGGUGCUGCAUGGUUGUCGUCAGCUCGUGCCGUGAGGUGUCAGGUUAAGUCCUAUAACGAGCGCAACCCCUGUUGUUAGUUGCCAGCGAGUCAUGUCGGGAACUCUAACAAGACUGCCAGUGCAAACUGUGAGGAAGGUGGGGAUGACGUCAAAUCAUCACGGCCCUUACGCCUUGGGC